Molecule: ribosomal RNA, 164 nt
Filed under: Aconitum yamazakii
Lineage: Eukaryota; Viridiplantae; Streptophyta; Magnoliopsida; Ranunculales; Ranunculaceae
Description: 5.8S rRNA
Rfam family: 5.8S ribosomal RNA
About the family: 5.8S ribosomal RNA (5.8S rRNA) is a component of the large subunit of the eukaryotic ribosome. It is transcribed by RNA polymerase I as part of the 45S precursor that also contains 18S and 28S rRNA. Functionally, it is thought that 5.8S rRNA may be involved in ribosome translocation.
Source: RNAcentral
CAAACGACUCUCGGCAACGGAUAUCUCGGCUCUUGCAUCGAUGAAGAACGUAGCGAAAUGCGAUACUUGGUGUGAAUUGCAGAAUCCCGUGAACCAUCGAGUCUUUGAACGCAAGUUGCGCCCGAGGCCAUUAGGUCGAGGGCACAUCUGCCUGGGCGUCACAC